UACGGAGGGGGCAAGCGUUAUUCGGAAUUACUGGGCGUAAAGCGCGCGCAGGUGGCGUGGUAAGUGGCAGGUGAAAGCCCUCGGCUCAACCGAGGAACUGCCUGCCAAACUGCUACGCUUGAGGCUGGGAGGGGGAAGCGGAAUUCCUGGUGUAGCGGUGAAAUGCGUAGAUACCAGGAGGAACACCGGUGGCGAAGGCGGCUUCCUGGACCAGUUCUGACACUCAUGCGCGAAAGCGUGGGGAG
This 245-nucleotide ribosomal RNA is filed under the name uncultured Thermoanaerobaculum sp. RNAcentral describes it as "partial 16S ribosomal RNA". It matches the Rfam family "Bacterial small subunit ribosomal RNA", at positions 524 to 768 of the family's 1533-position model. The record is from RNAcentral. Lineage: Bacteria; Pseudomonadati; Acidobacteriota; Thermoanaerobaculia; Thermoanaerobaculales; Thermoanaerobaculaceae.